CCAGGGUUCUACUUGCCAUGUCCUCAGCAGUCCUCACGUGCCACCUUUUCUGAAGCAGCAUGGGCCUCCACACCUCCUGCAGGACCCAGCUCAGUCUGGAAUUAUGAAAAUUCUUGAAGGACAGUUUCUCUCCUCCCCUGACUACUUGGGCCACUUUACCAACUGCUUGGAGAUGAGGAUAUAGCAGCCUUCCAGGUCAAGGCCUAUCAGACCCCCGGCAGCAGGAAGCAGUCUCAGCCGGCAGCUCUGGGCCCAGCUGUUCAGGGGAAACAGGACGAUUGGGAGCCUCUAAGGAGGAUGAGAGCGCAAGAAGGUCCAAGCCCAGUGCCUAGGAUUCCAGUGAGUGUGGUUCCUUUAGGGAGCAAUUCGCAAAAGAGCCGAGCGCUUUCAAGGCCGGGAGACCGCUCGUCGGUGAACAUCGGGGACCGGAAGAGCUGCUGAGGCUGACCGUCUCCAAGGGCCGGGAGCCCCAGACGUCCAACUAUGGCAGGGACAGGUCACAAGCUCUGUUCCCCUUCCUUCCUGACACAUGGUCAUGUGAAGGGGAGCUCGUGGACCCGUCACAGCCCCGAGACCACCGAGCCCCAAAAGGGAACUCAGAGGCGCAGAAGCUUCCGCUUCAGAGCGGGGGACAGACUUCCAGGGCCGCCUCACAUUCCCGUAGGCGUCUGACACCUCGGACCCCGGGUCGCCUCCUCCCUCUCCCCGCGCUCCACUAGGCAGCAGCCCGUUCAGGCCUAGCAGGCUACCGUACCGGAAGGUGUCUUCGAUCUCAUUGAUGGUUGUAUCCUUUUCUACCACCAGGAAAUUAGGGUGGCGAUUCUUGUUAAGCUCCCCUAUGCCGCCCAGGAGAAAACCAGUGACCGUAUCUUCAUCUCCAAUCACUGCGAUUAGCUUCCCCCUCCCCGCCAUCUCCGCAGCACUCAGCGAUCACUCCUACACCGGAAGUCGCCAAAGCCCUGCCCCCGCAGUGCGUCACCGAGCCGACCUCAGCCCCUCCCUUCAGUCAUGCGCAAUUCCACCACCGCUGCUUCGGGAUAUGCGCAUUAGCAACAACGAGGCUUCCUACUGAAUACGUCUACGCCACACAGAGAGACCCGAACCAGGACCCUGCGCUUUCGAGGCAGGAGGCAGAACCACUGAGCUAAAUCCCCGGUCUCCAUCAACCUUCUGAAUUGAGCGCUGCUAGACGCUGAGACCCCCCAACGAAGAAGGUCGGAGUCAGGGUAGCAGAGGGGCCCACGCCCGGCACACACCUGGAGGCUGGUGACCGUGAGACGGCGAGCAUCAUCCGAGAGGGAGGCCACGGGUACCACGAAGGGGCUGUCUGGGAUGUGCUCAUCAUUGAACUUGAUGGAGACCUCAUAGUCACCUGGGAAGGGAAGGGCAGCCGGUCAGCAAGGGCCUAGGUGGGGAUGGUGGGGCUGACUCCCACACUCCCAGCCUCAUCCCAGGACAAGUUCCUUGGGUCAGGGCUCGGCUCUGAGGACAGACAAGUACUCCCAGGGGAGGGUGGAGGAGAUGGGAGAGAGAGAGCAGAGCCGGUGAGGUGAGUCCUGCAGCCCCAGGCAUCUUCAGCCUGGUCAGUGAGC
Heterocephalus glaber (naked mole-rat) is the source of this 1592-nucleotide non-coding RNA. NCBI's taxonomy places the organism in Eukaryota, Metazoa, Chordata, Mammalia, Rodentia, Bathyergidae. The record is from RefSeq and is a predicted model, not a curated record.